This is a long non-coding RNA of Rhododendron vialii, 242 nucleotides long. RefSeq lists it as uncharacterized. NCBI's taxonomy places the organism in Eukaryota, Viridiplantae, Streptophyta, Magnoliopsida, Ericales, Ericaceae. The record is from RefSeq and is a predicted model, not a curated record. The transcript has 2 exons.
UUGCCAAAUUGUCUUAGGAGGUUCGGGUGACACGUGGAUACGAGGCAAUGGGACGUAGAGUGGUGGCGUGCAGCCCUUCUUUUGGACGUGCUAUGUAGAUAUGGACUUGUAGAUAGGAAGUUGCUCUUGGUGAACACUUUUGACAUGUAAAUAUGCGCAGCUCUGGGUGGUUCGCAAAGUAGAGAUCCUUGUAAAGUCUUCUGGUUUUGGCAUAUGUAAUAAAAUGGAAUUUGCUUCCGCUU